UUGCUUUGUGUCUUAUAGAGUAAACAAAACUCACAAUGUGUCUUUUUAUGUAAGUCUCUCGUAAACCAACACCAACCCAUAAGUGCUCUUAGCCUUUGACUUCAUUUUCAUAUUUUACUCCUUUCCUUUUCUAUCAGCUUAUUGGAUUUCAUGAAUCACCCCUCCUCGUCCAUUAUCAUUACCUCGUAUUAUUAACUCUCACUCACUCACACACACACAUAGUAUUAUAGUAUGUGCGCAUGCAUAUAUUAUAUACAAUAUGAUUGGAUGGAUAGGGACGGCCAAGUUAGAGAU
Molecule: long non-coding RNA, 294 nt
Filed under: Brassica napus (rape)
Lineage: Eukaryota; Viridiplantae; Streptophyta; Magnoliopsida; Brassicales; Brassicaceae
Description: long non-coding RNA (BNAP_LNC009329)
Source: RNAcentral